GAUGAUAGUUAGAUCUUUAAAGAGAGUAGAAAAUAGAAGGAAAGAAAAAACGAAAAAAGUAACAAAUUGGUCUUUUUUCCUCGUUGUUUGUAUAGUUUUUCUUUUUCUUUUUUUUUUUUUUUUUUUAAAUUGACUUCAAAUUUUUUCAAUUUUUGCGUUCACGCAUGCAAAUAGUCACGCAUGCUCGUGUGUAUGUGUGUGAGAGAAUGAAUAUGCUCGGUUGAAAAAGGGACGGACUCUAGCAAAAAAAAUGGCAUACAUAUGUACGUUGUACCGUUAUGACGUAUACGACAAGCCGGCGUUUGUAUAUGUAACGGUUUUUGGUUCUAUUCGAACGUUUCAUUUUCAGUUCACUUCUUAGUUUAGUAUUGAAUCGCGAGACGUCGGUUGUUAUUGUUGAACGCGCUUAAAUCAAACAGCGAAUGAUUUUAAAAAUCAAUUAAAGUGAUACGCAGAAACUUUUCUUUGACUAGUUGCACUCAGCCCAAAAGAUACAACGCCAACAACAACAGUCAAUUAGUUGAGUUGAUUUUUCUAUGAAGCAAAGAAAAGGCAAAACAAACAAAGAAAAAGAACGACGAAUAGAAAAAGUGAGAGCAAAAGCUGUGUGUGUGUAUAUGUAUGUGUAGAAGUAAUAUACAAAAAUACAUACAUAUAUUUCCAUACGCACAAACAAGCAGAAAAUUACAAACACGAAAUUGCAGCCAAAGCAAAAUCCAAAACCGAUACUGAAACUGAAAUUGAAACAAGAAAAAACUGAAAAUAUGCACAGCAACAACAGCGGCGGCGGCGGUAAUUACCCCAACAACAAUCACACCGGCAGCAGCUACAACAACAGAAUCAAUAUCAACAGUAAUCAUUAUUAUAAUCAUCAA
Drosophila navojoa is the source of this 875-nucleotide long non-coding RNA. The record is from RefSeq and is a predicted model, not a curated record. Lineage: Eukaryota; Metazoa; Arthropoda; Insecta; Diptera; Drosophilidae.